This 235-nucleotide ribosomal RNA is filed under the name uncultured bacterium. Its description in RNAcentral is "partial 16S ribosomal RNA". It matches the Rfam family "Bacterial small subunit ribosomal RNA", at positions 96 to 334 of the family's 1533-position model. The record is from RNAcentral.
UGGCGGACGGGUGAGUAAUGUCUGGGAAACUGCCUGAUGGAGGGGGAUAACUACUGGAAACGGUAGCUAAUACCGCAUAACGUCGCAAGACCAAAGAGGGGGACCUUCGGGCCUCUUGCCAUCGGAUGUGCCCAGAUGGGAUUGGCUAGUAGGUGGGGUAACGGCUCACCUAGGCGACGAUCCCUAGCUGGUCUGAGAGGAUGACCAGCCACACUGGAACUGAGACACGGUCCAG